GACAGAGGUGCCGAGCGUUAGGCGGAAUCACUGGGCUUAAAGCGUGUGUAGGCGGGGCCGUCAGUACCUUGUGAAAUCCCACGGCUCAACCGUGGAACUGCUUGGUAUACUGCGGGUCUUGAGCCACCUAGGGGCAAGCGGAACAAGCGGUGGAGCGGUGAAAUGCGUAGAUAUCGGAAGGAACACCUGUGGCGAAAGCGGCUCACUGGACCAUUACUGACGCUGAGGCACGAAAGCUAGGGGAGCAAACAGG
RNAcentral lists this ribosomal RNA (253 nucleotides) under uncultured bacterium. RNAcentral's name for it is "partial 16S ribosomal RNA". It matches the Rfam family "Bacterial small subunit ribosomal RNA", at positions 524 to 776 of the family's 1533-position model. The record is from RNAcentral.